CUUUUUUUCAGAGCAUCCCAGAAGCGCUGGAAAUGCUCAUCAAGUCUCUGUAAGAGUCGGUCCACGGAGCUAUGAGGGUAUGUGUCAGGCUUCUGUGCCACGUGGUUUGGCUGAUCGCCCCGGGACCGCUCUCGGCCUUGUACCCCAGAGGCAUUGGCAGCUGCCAUCUUGUGGAGGGUGGUUGCUGCAGAACUGGCGGUAGGCGCUUGGAG
Pelobates cultripes (western spadefoot toad) is the source of this 212-nucleotide non-coding RNA. Lineage: Eukaryota; Metazoa; Chordata; Amphibia; Anura; Pelobatidae. The record is from the annotation of a GenBank genome assembly.